UCCCCCCCCCACUAGAAGCUUCAGCCACUUGGAACGAUUUCCCAUUGUUGAUCUUCUUUUUUCUAAAGCCUAAAUGCUUCUCUAUCUCAGUCCGAUACUGACACUGAUCUGGUUGAUAAGCCUAAUUAAGAAGAAGAAAAUUUUGGGUAAAACGUCACAUUGCUUAGUUUGGAGUUCUUUAUCUUCUUUAGUUCUGUUCCAAUGUUCCUUUCUUCAAUUUCAUCGCCCCUCUUCUGCUCUUUCAUGGCUCUCUCACGGUAAACUAUUACUGAUUUUGUUUAUCUGUAAUGCUAAGUUAGAUGGUGAAAAAUAGAUAGUAUUAAACUGGAAACAGUUGUGUCGAAGAAUCUUGUAGCAUUAUACUUGGGUACUAUAAGCUGGGUGGAUCCAUGACAUUUAGUGCCGUAAAAUUAUCUCCAUGUAGUAGUUCUUGUAAAGAUCUGCUUGCAAUCUGAACAGGCUAAGAAGCAGAACUGCUAGUUCUCAUUUGGUAGUGCGAGUUCAGCUUCUAGCAAUUAAAAAUUCAGAGGAAUACAUAUAAAUUUUAUUGUUCUUACAUAUAAAUUUUUAUUGUUCUUACCGGAGGUUGCUUCUGGAUAUUGCCAAUUGGUAUGAUCUCUUCCUGGAAAAGGAACACUCAUAAGAGAGCCUAUUGGAGUUGUACUCCUUGCCGUGUAUACUGCUCAUGAGUUGUGUUCAUUAACAGUAUCUUGUAUACUGCUCAUGAGUUGUAUUCAUUGUUAAUCCUGUCGCGUAAAGAUAGAAAGUAUAUGUUGUUACUUUGAUGGUAAUAAUUUUAUAUAUGUAUUUAUAAUUGUAUACCAUCAAAAAGUGAUAUUCUAAUUGUCUAACAUGUUUCAGAUAGAAGCAAUGAGUCUCUCAUGACAGGAGUACUCAGUUCGCUUAAGACAUUAGCCGCCUCCGAGGAUGAUGCAUUAGCGGAGUUGGUAAUAAUUGAGCUGGCAACAAGAUGAUGUCUGUUUGAUUCAGCUUUGUUUUCUCCUACUCGCGCUAAGAGAACCCUUUUAUUAGCUUGCAUCUUUCUAUAUAGGCAGAAUACAUAGUUUACCCCCAGAACUAUGGACCAAAUCCCUGUGACACACCUUUUGGGAACAAAAAUUACCUUACACACUCAACAUUUCCAAAGUGUAUCUAAUACACACUACUUUUACACUCGUGAUUUACACGCAC
This 1191-nucleotide long non-coding RNA is filed under the name Nicotiana tabacum (common tobacco). Its description in RNAcentral is "long non-coding RNA (NTAB_LNC016060)". Lineage: Eukaryota; Viridiplantae; Streptophyta; Magnoliopsida; Solanales; Solanaceae. The record is from RNAcentral.